GGGCUCACACAAGCGGUGGAGGAUGUGGCUUAAUUCGAGGCUACGCGAAGAACCUUACCUAGACUUAACAUGUUUGAGAAUCUCUGUGAAAGCAGAGAGUGCCUUUCGGGGAACUCUUACGUAGGUGCUGCAUGGCUGUCGUCAGCUCGUGUCGUGAGAUGUCGGGUUAAGUCCCUUAACGAGCGAAACCCUUAUCUUCAGUUGCCAGCGAGUAAUGUCGGGGACUCUGGAGAGACUGCCGGUGUUAAACCGGAGGAAGGUGGGGAUGACGUCAAGUCCUCAUGGCCUUUAUGUCUAGGGCUGCACACGUCCUACAAUGCUACGGACAAAGGGCAGCAAGUUCGCGAGGACAAGCAAA
This 358-nucleotide ribosomal RNA is filed under the name uncultured bacterium. RNAcentral describes it as "bacterial SSU rRNA". It matches the Rfam family "Bacterial small subunit ribosomal RNA", at positions 917 to 1271 of the family's 1533-position model. The record is from RNAcentral.